GGGGAUGUGACUCAGUGGUAGAGCAUCUGCCUGGCAAGCAGGAAGCUCUUAGUUCCAUUCCUA
RNAcentral lists this transfer RNA (63 nucleotides) under Ictidomys tridecemlineatus (thirteen-lined ground squirrel). RNAcentral's name for it is "Spermophilus tridecemlineatus (thirteen-lined ground squirrel) tRNA". It matches the Rfam family "tRNA". Rfam says of the family: Transfer RNA (tRNA) molecules are approximately 80 nucleotides in length. Their secondary structure includes four short double-helical elements and three loops (D, anti-codon, and T loops). Further hydrogen bonds mediate the characteristic L-shaped molecular structure. tRNAs have two regions of fundamental functional importance: the anti-codon, which is responsible for specific mRNA codon recognition, and the 3' end, to which the tRNAs corresponding amino acid is attached (by aminoacyl-tRNA synthetases). tRNAs cope with the degeneracy of the genetic code in two manners: having more than one tRNA (with a specific anti-codon) for a particular amino acid; and 'wobble' base-pairing, i.e. permitting non-standard base-pairing at the 3rd anti-codon position. Lineage: Eukaryota; Metazoa; Chordata; Mammalia; Rodentia; Sciuridae. The record is from Rfam by way of RNAcentral.